AAUACAUAGUGAGUGAGAAAGGUGACUGGAAAGGAAAAACUCAAUGCAUCAUGGGAAUCCCCCGGCAGCCUACAUCUAUUGCAGCAUAACUAAGGGAGGAUUCAGGGUCACCUGGUCCAGCCCUAACUAUAUGCUUUAGCAAAAAGGAAAGUUUGAAGCCUAAUCUUGAAAGUAGAGAUAGUGUCUGUCUCCUGAAUCCAAACUGGAAGCUGGUUCCACAGAAGAGGGGCCUGAAAACUGAAGGCUCUGCCUCCCAUUCUACUUUUAACAUCACAACUAAUCAAUGAGGCACCUGUGUGCAUGCUGGCUCUGAGUGAAAAGGUGAUGUCUGCUGUUGACUUAACAUGAAAGCAAAGAACAAAGAAGACCACAGCAACAAAACAAUCAGCUGAAAGAUGCUUUCAAUAAAAACUAAAAAAGAUUUGAUUUAUUAAACUUGAUGAACUGUUAACAUAAAGUUGUUCAAAACAGCUUUAACUCGGUUAAAAAUGAUUUUAUAUUUGGACUGAAUAUUGUUACUCAGCCACUGGUCAGGUCCUGUGUUGCCUGAGCAUUGCAUAUGUUCAGCCUUGGUAGUUCAGUCUAUGUUACAGCUGCCUACACGAGAAGAAUCAGUUUCCUUUUAUUGAGAUCACAAAUUCAUCGUAUUUAUGUCUGCGACGACAGGAGGAGGAAAUAUGGGCCCUUUUAUUGCCACAUCAUUAUAUUAUUAUUUGCUGGAACUGGAUGGGCAGCCGAUUCUCAUUUAUUCAAAGAAUGAGUUAAAAUCCUCCAAUCACAUUAGUUUCUUGUUUCCUGGAUGGCUUGCUCUACAGCCAAUGGUUCCUUUGGAUUGAACCAUUUCUCAGCCCACAACAACAAAUACUUGACGACUGCAAUGCUUUGUGUUCCCCGGAAAUGUAGCAGUAGUGUGACUUAGAUGCACAUUAAAUGUAUCAAAAGAAAAAGAAGUGUUAUAUUGAUGUGGUACACACCAUUGAAGAGUUUCUCAUUUGUUUUUAACCUUAUUUAUAAAGCUACAUUUUCUCCCUGUUCACUUUACAUGCGAUUACAGGUUCAUUUUUAUUGGUUUUCCACUCACAUGUAAUGCAUUUAAUAGCAAUAUUUAAUAAUUCAUUUAAUUUAUUUAAUAAAAUAAAAGCUUUUAGUAUGUUUUUGAGGCGCUCACUAUGAAAACAUUUCUGUAACCAUCACCUCUGAACCAUUUAAGGGGACACAGAGUCUUAGAUCCAUUUAAGGCUGCCCUACAAGGAUGAUAGGAUUGGGACAUUAUCACUCCCGAGGCGUAAGAUAGUGAUGAUUUGUCCCGUGGUGUUCCUGAGGAAUGUGAAAGGUGACGUUCUUAUGCUACGCGCCAGGUUAUGGAUGAAAUCCAGCAGAAUGACGCUCCCGCGGUAAUACACGUUCCAGCCAUGUAUUCCCGCCCUGACCCUCACCUCAACCAGCACUUUCACGUUAGAUACUGUUUUCCAAAGCGAUUUAAGUAAAACGAACGUGCAUGUGUAGAUUCAUUCCAAACGGUUCUCAUGUUUCCUCAUUUUUCUGAUCUCGUGAUCUAGGGACGUGUUGGGUGCCCGGAAGCACAAUAUACCUACAAUUUGUCACGUAGCGUAAAAUGUUAGGCUUUGGGAGUGAGAACAUUAUUAGUCUGCCUCUGGAAAAGGCAGAUGAUUACUUGUAAAGUACACAUGUCCACUACUAAUAAAAACACUCGAGUCUUAAUAUAUUCUAAGACUGUUUUCUGUCCAAUUUGUGGAUUAUUGUCAGUCUGAGAGUGUUGGAGAGAUGUACUGCAAAAGGACUAGAGCUGUUACUGAUGGUCUGAGGCAUGCAACCUGAGGCUUGGCUGCAGUACAAACCCAUCCACCACCCCAGCACUCAAAAUCUCAGUCUGUCUUAUUGCAAGGAGACAAUUGCUCCUCGUACCAUUGCCAUUUUGGCCUGUUGGAACUUGGAAACUGUGUGAUUUCACAUUUAACCACAGAACUGUUGUAACCCAGCUAUAGUGACACAAAGACGGACAUUUGUGAAGGGGAGGGGGAAAUUUCUAAUGCUUGCUAUGCUGAAGUUUAAAAGCUCUUUGUAAGUGCUGAGAGCUGAUGCCCACGCUGGAGUCAGAGCAGCAUCUGUGUGACGAGGGGUUAAUGUGUGAAAGACACAUUUGAGGAAAUUGCCCUCUUAUCGCAGUCAUUGCCGGUGAGUAUCAUAGGCUGAGAGGAUAAUGACUGGAAGCAUUAGGCAGUGUUCUACAGCGAUAGGCUGUUAGGGUGAGGAUAGGCUAGAAGCUCCUCUGAAAUCAGCCCAAUAACCAAUGCAUGCAAGAGCCCUUCUUUUGUUUCAUUAGUUCAUUAUGACGAAACGCUGGUUAGCAUCUCAGCUACUCUGGUUGUGGACUCUAAUAUGAAAGUGACUUCAGUGAGUGAAAAGUCGUCAUAUUAAGAGACUGUGAGACCUGUAAAUAAAGGGUUAAUAGACUAAUGCGUAAGUUGCUGCUGUAACUGAAUGUUUCCCAUUAAUUGAUAUAGCAUUUUAUUAAUCAUGUACAGCCAUUUCUAACAGCACAUAGUCAGUCAGGUCCUCUUGGCAGUAAUCAGGUGAGUUUAGACCCUUUCCCGCGUGCUCAAGCACCCCCCCAAACAUAACUAUAAUAAUAAUAAUAAAUUUUACUAUCAUUUUCUGGAAUUAACUUCAACUGUUGUAUUUUCCUAACUUGUCUAUUGACAACAGAAUAGAAUGAAAACAGGUUUCACGUCCAGUGUUGUUGAUGUUGUGUUUGAAGGUAACAUUGUAAAGUGUAUCCAAUUGAACUGACGUUUCCAAAUGUGAAAAGGGUUGAUUACAUUAGUAAACAGCAUUGUGAGGGAGCAAGUAGCAAAGGCAUAAAAGACACAGGAAAAAAUAUCUUUAAAAUGGGUUCUCUUUAUUUUAACCCUCAAAAACAAAACAAAAACGUACAAAGACAGGAUUCAAAAAUAUAAUCAGUAGGCCCAUAAAAGAGGUCAACUAAACUCAGUUUUCGGAGAUGAAUUUUGUUUACUCAAAUUUAGCUUUUGUUGGAGGAUGUGUUUGUGCGUGGGGGGGGGGGGGGGGGGGGGUGCGCGAACAUUUUUCUUGUAAAAAAAAAAAAGUUUGGGAACCACUGGGCCAAACCAUUUACACACACACACACACACACACACACACACACACACACACACACACACACACACACACACACACACACACACACACACUAAAUGCAGGUCCAACAAAAAAAAAAAAAAAAAAAAAAAAAACCCAAACAAAAAUAAUGCAUUUCACGUGACCUUUCCAAGCGCACACGAACCCACUAUUCGAACCCCGGAACACCAUACCAUCGGCUUGCAUAACCACUCAUAUAAUCGGCGAUCACAGGCAGUCUAUGCGACUGGCUUUAUUAAAGGUAAGUAAAAAAAAAUAUGUUGGCCAUCCUCCUGCCGCUCAAAACAUACCUCUCUCCCCUUUCUGUAAUCUGCCCGGUCGACUAAAAGACGUGCAGCCACGGUAGUGUAGAAACUAAUGGUGGUGGUGCGUGUAUGCGCUCAGGUCACCUGUCUGCGGCCCGAGACUGUUACUCCAUCACAUCAUCCCCUUCCACCCGAAGGUUGGCGUUGUGCGGCAACUUUGAGAGAUAAUCUGCCACUACAUUGAGCUUGCCUGGUCUGUGACGGAUGGUGAAUUAGAAUGGCUGCAGUGAAAGGUACCAUCGUGUCAGCUGGCUGUUAUGGUCCUUCAUGGAAUGGAUCCAGGUGAGUGCUCGGUGGUCAGUUUCCAACUCAAACUCCCGUCCCAGUAAAUAAUGCCCAAGUUUCUCCAGGGCCCACUUAAUGGCCAAGGCCUCCUUCUCCACAGUUGAGUAGUUGGUCCCUCGUGGCAGCAGCUUUCGGCUUAGGUAUAGGACCGGAUGCUCUUCUCCAGGGUCCCCUUGGGCCAGCUCUGCUCCCAGGCCCAUUGCAGAGGCGUCAGCCUGGACCAGAAAUUUCUUCCUGAAGUCUAGGCUCCUGAGAACUGGGGUCAUACACAGGCAGGUUUUCAGCAUAUUGAAAGCUUGUUCACAUUCCACUGUCCAUGUUACAGGAUUCUGUUGGUCCUUGCUGGUCAAAGCCGUAGACAGGGUCCGCAAUAGUCGCAAACUGGGGCACGAAUCUUCGGUACCAGCCAACCAGCCCCAGGAAAGACCGGACUUCCUUUUUGGUGUGAGGCCGAGGACAUUUCUGGAUGGCUUCCACCUUAUCCAUCUGUGGACACACCUCACCUCUGCCCACUUGGUAGCCAAGGUAGUGGGUCUCCUGCCGUGCCCACUCACAUUUAGAGGGGUUGAGGGUCAACCCUGCCUUAUGGAUUCUUCCAAGGACUUCGGACAGGUGCUGCAGAUGCUCUUCCCAGGUGUUGCUGAAGAUCACUACAUUAUCCAGGUAGGCAGCACUUUAGGGGUCACACCCCUGUAGUAAGUUCUCCAUCAGCCUCUGGAAGGUUGCAGGUGCCCCAUGUAGCCCAAAUGGCAUCACCGUGAACUGGAAAAGGCCGGCAGGUGUCCGGAAGGCGGUGUAGGGUCAAGAGGACUCCUCCAGUGGCACUUGCCAGUAACCCUUGCACAGAUCCAGGGUGGUGAUGUACCUGGCCGUUCCGAUCUUCUCCAGCAAAUCCUCGAUUCGAGGCAUGGGGGUAGGCAUCAAACCUGAAAUGGAAUUAAGCUUCCAAAAAUCAAUGCAAAUGCGUAGUGAGCCAUCUUUCUUGGAGAUGAUGACCACCGGCCUACACCAUUCUGAGCAAGGCAGCUCAAUCACCCCGAGCUCCAGCAUCUUCUCCACCUCUUGGCGCAAUUUUUCCACUAAGUGUUGUGGAACCCGGUAUGGACGUUGGCGGAUGGGAUGUCCAUCCUUUAGGCAUAUCACAUGUUCGACAAGGGUGGUCCUGCCGGGGUUAACUGAACACAGAGAUGGAGUCUCCCGAAGGAUUUGGAGUAGCUCAACAGCCUCCUGUGGUCUAAGAUGAGUCAGCACCAGAAAUAUUGGAUCGGAUCUCUGCUCGGGUUCUGUCUUCCCUUCUCUUGGCACUUCUCUUGCCAUCAGAGCUUUCGCAGGGGCCUGGUGUGCAUGUUCUUCCCAUUCUUUCAGGAGAUUCACAUGGUAAGUCUGCUUUGGUUUCUUCUUUUCAGGGUGAUGACUCUCAUAGGUCACUGGCCCCAUUCUGCGAAGAACUGUGUAUGGCUCUUGCCAUUUCACCAGAAGUUUACUGUUGGCUGAAGGAAGAACACCUUUUGACCAGGUUAAAAUUCACGGUGCGGGACCUGUUGGUCUUCUUUGAGCGUCUCGCAGGUUGACUUCAGCCUCCUCAUGGUAUCUUUCCCAUCUCUCAUUUCCAGCACAAAUUGCACCACUCCUUUAUCAUUUGGAGCAGAAGCAGGAGCUGGUUGUGAAAGAGCUGCAUCGACCUGAGGUAAAGUUAGUCCCUUGGUCUGUCAAAAUCUCAUCUGGUAUCCCCACCCUGGAGAACAGCUAUACCAGUGCACGCAGAGAAUUGGCUUCUGGGAAGCGAGUUGCAUAAUCACACACCACCAAAAUGACCCCAACUACUUUUUACCAGAGGUCCCACAAUGUCCAUAGCUAUCCUACAGAAGGGACUGGAGAUGACAGGAAGUAGCUGUAGCAGGACUCUGUCAGGCUUGCGGGCUGGACAAGUUUUCUGGCAGGUAGGGCAUGUACAGCGAUAUUUCUGUAUGUCUGUGUACAGUGACGGCCAAAAGAAAUGUGAGCUAACACGCAUAUAGGUUUUUUGGUGACCCAGAUAACCUGCCCAGGGGAGGGUAUGUGCUAGGUGCAUAAUGAGGCGCCUACAACUAGAAGGUAUCACAAGCCCUUGGUGGUCACUGUCAACUGCAUACAACACAUUUUUGAACUUCUCUUUCCCUCCCCAUUUUCCAGUUCCCCCUUCAGUCACAUUAGCAAACAAAACUUUCAGCGUUUCAUCCUCCCUUUGUAACAAAGUGAAAUGCAGGUCCAACAAAAAAAAAAAAAAACCCAAAAAAACCCCAAAAACCCCCCAAUCAAAAUAAUGCAGUUCAAGCGACCUUUCCAAGCGCACGCGAACCCACGAACCCCCGGAACAUCAUACCAUCGGCUUGCCCAACUACUCGUAUAAUCGGCGAUCACGGAGAGUCUACACGACCGGCUUUAUUAAAGGUAAGUAAAAAAAAAUAAAAUAUGUUGGCCACCCUCUGUGCCGCUCAAAUCUCACCCCUUUCUGUCAUCUGCCUGGUCGACUAAAAGACGCGCAGCCACGGUAACCCAGCGCGACAAGUGUAGAAACUAAUGGUGGUGGUGUGUGUAUGCGCUCAGGUCAGCUGUCUGCGGCCCGGGACGGUGUAACUCCGUCACAUGACUUCAGAAACAUGACUUGAACAAUUUUUUUCCCACGAAGAAAUGCGAUAAAAAAAAAAAACUAUCUCUUUACCCGUUGGCUUUCUGUGGUUGUCAUGCGACUGGUUAUGGCAGUUAAUAAUACAACAGCUUCUUACCAUUCUUUGUGUCUCUGUUUAUCUCUGUGACUGUUGUCUUGUAAUAGCCCGGGCGUGCUAGCCAUUUGUUCCUACAAUCCUUUGCUGUUUUACCCCUGAAAUGACGUCACAUUUUCAAACUCUACAAACUGCAAGGGAUAGAACUCCUCUUGAACACUUGCCUGUCCAGAGGUGUGGACUCGAGUCACAUGACUUGGACUCGAGUCAGACUCGAGUCAUUAAUUUUAUGACUUUAGACUUGACUUGAAAAAAUGUUCUAAGACUUGUGACUUGACUUGGACUUUUACACCAAUGACCUGGGACUUGAAUUGGACUUGAACCGGUUUACUUGAAAAGACUUGAUAUUUCACCCCAAAUAUAAAAUUUAACAUGCAUAUUAUAUAGAGAUUGAAAAUGUGACAUCAUUCACGGGUAGAACCGCAAAGGAUUCUGGGAACUCGUGGCAAGCGGUACUAGCGCACGCAGGCUUUCAAUUAAAAUCUGUUACACAGCGAUAAAAAGAAACACAAAAAAAUGUCAAGAAGCUGUUGUAUUAUUAACUGCAAUAGCCGGUCGCAUGACAGCCACGGGAAGCCGACGGGUAAAGAGAUCGGUUGUUAUCGGAUUACGUCGUUGAAGAGAAAUUGUUCGAGCCAUGUUUCCGAAGUAACAAAGACGCGACGGAUGGACUGGAUUGCAGCCAUUCAAAGACCAAAUAUAACGUCCCAGAACCCUCCAGCUCACAGGUUAGUCUGCUCCAAGCAUUUACACGAAGGUCAGUCUGCUGUUGUAGUUAAUGCGUCAUUUUCAUAACAUAACUGGUGAUAUAGGUUACAAGCAAGUCUGGCGCUGAACAGAAAUUGUCGCGCUAUGCUCCUUUGUUUAUUGUGCAUAAAUAGUGAAUUGUCCUGACACAAUAUUGUGUUUUGCUUCUGUUAUUAUGGUACACUGACAAAAACAUAUACUUUUAUUCACAGGGUAAAACAGGUUUUUUGUAUCACUAAUUGCCCAGUGCGAUUACAACAUACAAUAUUAUUGUCACUGCUACAUUUCUGUGAUGCUACCAGAAAUUAUUUCCACUACUAAUUAAUUACCGUUGAGCUCAAAGGUCCUAUUAAUAAACGGUUAAGGAAUGUGUAUUUAUGAAGACAAUUUGUGAGACUGGUAAACUUAUGAUACGUACGAUGGUCUUUCGUUCUACACGGUGCAUUUCAAGGUCCUGCACCCAUCUGUCGGUAAACUGUACCUGGGCUUGUUGCAGUGACCUGAAGUUACUAAACUUCAUGAGUGUGUGCACUCACUCCAAGAACCGUAUGAUUAUAAAUAUGCAUAUAAAUGUGCUACGAUGAGAUAGCUGACUUCAUCUAACUAGCAAAUGUUGUCCAGGCUACGUUGGUGAUACAGUUUUUUUUAAUGUGUAUGAUAUUUUUGUCAUGCGAUUUUAAAGCCGGUCCUACAACCGCAUCCAAGAAUAACAUGCAGCUUAUCUCAGAACUGUCGGUGAAAAUUAUUCUUGGAGCUAGGUUUAAUUGAGCUGCAUUUUAAAGAGGUGCAAUUUCACAAUUUGUGUAUAUUUUCUAAGUUCACUAUUUUGUCAUGUGUUGAGAAAAACACAGAUUUUAAAAUUACAUGGUCUAAUAUUUACAUUUAGCAUAACUGCAACAUUAUUUUUUCGUUUUUUUUUUUAAAGACUCGAAAGGACUUGAAAUUCAAAGUUUCAGACUUGAGACUUGACUCGGACUUUUACACCAGUGACUUGAGACUCGACUCUGACUUGCCUGACAUUACUUGAGACUUGACUUGAGACUUGAGGAUAAAGACUUGAGACUUACUUGAGACUUGCAAAACAAUGACUUGGUCCCACCUCUGUGCCUGUCCACUCUCCAUCAUUGCUGCUGUGUGUAAAAGGCCUUUUGUCCCAGGGUUAUUGUGGGGUUUGGUGCCUGCUGUGACUUUGUAAUUUGGCUCGUGUCCAUAAAUUAAGGAGUAAAGUACAGUUGUUGUAAACAAACUUUACGUGAAAGGAUGUGAUUUAAAUGUCUAACAUUCACGUUUAACCAAAUGAAAGUAAUUCUUACAAUAACUGAGUAGCAACAUGUUUUUUUUUUGUUUUUUUAAUAUAAGGUUAAUAUUGCUAGCUUAAGGGGAAACGCCAACUCUCCAUCCCUCACCAUCUGCCCAUCAAAAACACACAGACCCCUGACAAUCAGCUGUGGGAUAAAACCUGGCCAGACUCACACUUAACCUGCUAAGAUUAACAAAGACAAGAGCGAGUACAACAGAAACACUGAUUUGGUUCAGUUAUGGCAAUUAGAAAUCACAGUCUUUGCUCUAAAAGAUGGUAUUAACUUUUUUUAAGGAUUCAAAGUAAAAGGCAACACCCAACGAGGCCUACAGAUGCAAGAUUUGGAUGUUGCUCUCGUCAGGGAGAACUCUGCACUGUCAGUGUCAGGAGGAUUGCUCUCUUAUGUGUGUCAUACUCAGGCAGUAUCUGGUCAUCUUUCUUGUUUCACCUUUGUUCAUCCUGUCUGACACGUCUGCGUGUGGCAGCUGUGGAUUGUUACCUUCAUCCUUUGGAAGGAGCGAAGAUCGUGAUUCAACAGUGCAGAUUUAUGCAGGUCAUAAAAGAUAAAGAAAAACAAGGCUGAAUUUAAAGAAAAUGAAGAUUUCAGGUUAGAUAUACAAACAGCUGCAGUGGUGGAAAAUGUUAGAAAGCUUUUGGAUUUAUUAAAGCGGUUUCGAUUUUGUGGCUAAA
Astatotilapia calliptera (eastern happy) is the source of this 9269-nucleotide long non-coding RNA. The record is from Ensembl. NCBI's taxonomy places the organism in Eukaryota, Metazoa, Chordata, Actinopteri, Cichliformes, Cichlidae.